This 386-nucleotide long non-coding RNA is filed under the name Rattus norvegicus (Norway rat). Its description in RNAcentral is "long non-coding RNA NONRATT031329". Lineage: Eukaryota; Metazoa; Chordata; Mammalia; Rodentia; Muridae. The record is from RNAcentral.
ACAAUAACCAGGACUUCCAGGAGUGGAUGGAGCAGCUGAACAGACUGACCAAAGGACCAGCCUCCUGCAGUUCAUUGUCUAAGACCUCCUCAUCAUCAUGUAGUACUCAUUCUGAAUCUAGUAAGAGCCCCAAAACGAUGAAGAAGUUUCUUCACAAAAGAAAGACGGAGAGAAAGACAUCCGAGGAAGAAUACGUGAUUAGGAAAAGUACUGCUGCCCUGGAAGAGGAUGCUCAGAUUCUUAAGGUGAUUGAAGCUUAUUGCACCAGCGCCAGUUUUCAACAAGGUACUCGUAAAGAUUCAGUUCCACAAGUACUCCUCCCCGAGGAAGAGAAACUCAUUAUUGAAGAAACUAGAAGUAAUGGGCAGACCAUCAUUGAAGAGAAG